GAGGUUGUAGCUGGUCCCCUCGGGGGCAACGUGCACGCCUCGUCCAUGUCUCUCUCACACCCCUGUGCACCUCUGCGUUGGGGCCCGUCGGUUCGGGGCUCACGUCUUUUUCAUAAAACACACAUGUACUAGAACGUUGCACCUUUUUUGUUAUUAUAUACAACUUUCAACAACGGAUCUCUUGGCUCUCGCAUCGAUGAAGAACGCAGCGAAAUGCGAUAAGUAAUGUGAAUUGCAGAAUUCAGUGAAUCAUCGAAUCUUUGAACGCACCUUGCGCCCCUUGGUAUUCCGAAGGGCACACCUGUUUGAGUAUCGUGAAAUCAUCAACCCUUUCACGUCGUGUGAAGGGCUUGGACUUUGGAGGUCUUUGCUGGUCCCCCCCGGGAUCGGCUCCUCUUGAAUGCAUUUAGUGGAGCGUCGUAGCCUGCCCUUCGGUGUGAUAAUUCAUCUGCAUCGAUCGAGCACGUUAAACGUCGGAACCUUUUGAUCUCAAAUCAGGUG
Molecule: ribosomal RNA, 501 nt
Filed under: Leucogaster sp.
Lineage: Eukaryota; Fungi; Basidiomycota; Agaricomycetes; Boletales; Leucogastraceae
Description: eukaryotic LSU rRNA
Rfam family: 5.8S ribosomal RNA (bases 162-315)
Source: RNAcentral